AGCUUGACAAACUACAGCACAGCUAGAACAAGCUUGACUGGCAUCAUGUUCAGACUGAAGGAAGUCCAGCGUCUCCUGGUGCUGACAUUUCUCUGCCAAACAGUUCAUGGAAGUCACAUCAUAAAUGGGGAAAAGGCUCCUGUAAACUCAAUGCAGUACAUGGUCUCAGUGCAGAGCAAUGGAAAACAUGUAUGUGGAGGAUUUCUGAUCAGUGAGGACUUUGUGGUCACUGCUGCUCACUGCAAUAAUCCUAAACCCGAUCUGGUUGUCCUGGGAAAUCAUAAUAUCAAAAGUUCAAAUGUAAAAAAAAUAAACAUUCAGUACAGCUGCGAAUUCCCAACUUUCCAAAAUGUUGGACUUGGCAAUGACAUCAUGCUGCUUAAAGUAAGUAUGUGUUCAUGAAAGGUCCAUAACACAAGUUUCAGUAUGGUUACUGUGGAGAAACUCAUCAGUUAUUAAUAUUGUCACACUUGUGUUAAAAGUGUUUGUCUUACAUUUUACUUAUGUACAAACGUAUUACGAUCCAGCAUAAAUCAGUUGUACUGCACCAUAAAUAUAAUCAGCAACAAAAUUAUUAUCGCUAGCAG
Molecule: long non-coding RNA, 587 nt
Organism: Poecilia latipinna (sailfin molly)
Lineage: Eukaryota; Metazoa; Chordata; Actinopteri; Cyprinodontiformes; Poeciliidae
Exons: 3
Source: RefSeq, a predicted model, not a curated record